This 57-nucleotide transfer RNA is filed under the name Parascaris equorum. RNAcentral describes it as "tRNA-Phe". Lineage: Eukaryota; Metazoa; Nematoda; Chromadorea; Rhabditida; Ascarididae. The record is from RNAcentral.
ACUCUUUUAGUUUAUGUUAAAAAUAUGACUUUGAAGAAGUUGGGAAUUUUGGGAGUG